This 24-nucleotide microRNA is filed under the name Ananas comosus (pineapple). Its description in RNAcentral is "microRNA s1044_c133a". Lineage: Eukaryota; Viridiplantae; Streptophyta; Magnoliopsida; Poales; Bromeliaceae. The record is from RNAcentral.
AUAGAACUAGGCUACUAUGCUAUU